AUGGAUGUCAACCCUGUGGUGACUUGCUGGAACAUUGACGGUUUGAACUGUCCGACAAAGAGGAAAGCGGUGAGAGAGUUCCUGACUUCGGUGGAGCCUAAUCUUGUGUGUUUGCAGGAAACAAAAUUGGAGGUUGUAGACCAUUUUCUCUUAAUGCAAUGUUGUGGCCCAUCAUUUGAUGGCUUUGCUUACUUGGCGGCUGAUGACACGAGAGGAGGGAUUCUACUUGCUUGGGAUACCACGGUGCUGCAGGUAGAUCGUAUCCAGAGGGAUACUAACUUCCUCACGGGGAUGGUUCACCCUAGAGCUGGUGAGGAUUGGUGGAUUUCGGUGGUUUACGGCCCCCAAGGGAACAUAGCAAAAACACAGUUUCUGGAGGACUUGGCGGCUAGGCGUGCUCUCUGCCCUGGUCCUUGGAUGGUGCUUGGGGACUUUAACAUGAUCUUGCGCGCAAACGAGAAGAGCAACACUAACAUAAACCGCACGAUGAUGAACAAAUUCCAGAGCUUUGUCGAUAGUAGCGAGCUGAAGGAGCUUUAUAUGCAUGGGCGUCGGUUCACCUGGUCGAGUGAAAGAGAAAACCCUACUCUCACUAGAAUUGACAGAGUCUUGGUUUCGGUCGAUUGGGAGCUAGCGUGGCCAGAUUGCCUGCUGCAGGCUCUUUCGACGAGUGUCUCCGAUCACGCGGUCUUGGACAUCACCACCACACUAGUAGAAAAACACCUAAUAGUCCCGGUUCGUAAGGGCCUUUAG
RNAcentral lists this ribosomal RNA (753 nucleotides) under Triticum aestivum (bread wheat). Its description in RNAcentral is "partial small subunit ribosomal RNA". Lineage: Eukaryota; Viridiplantae; Streptophyta; Magnoliopsida; Poales; Poaceae. The record is from RNAcentral.